Molecule: ribosomal RNA, 606 nt
Filed under: Bacillus sp. CH111
Lineage: Bacteria; Bacillati; Bacillota; Bacilli; Caryophanales; Bacillaceae
Description: bacterial SSU rRNA
Rfam family: Bacterial small subunit ribosomal RNA
Source: RNAcentral
AUACAUGCAAGUCGAGCGAAUGGAUUGAGAGCUUGCUCUCAAGAAGUUAGCGGCGGACGGGUGAGUAACACGUGGGUAACCUGCCCAUAAGACUGGGAUAACUCCGGGAAACCGGGGCUAAUACCGGAUAACAUUUUGAACUGCAUGGUUCGAAAUUGAAAGGCGGCUUCGGCUGUCACUUAUGGAUGGACCCGCGUCGCAUUAGCUAGUUGGUGAGGUAACGGCUCACCAAGGCAACGAUGCGUAGCCGACCUGAGAGGGUGAUCGGCCACACUGGGACUGAGACACGGCCCAGACUCCUACGGGAGGCAGCAGUAGGGAAUCUUCCGCAAUGGACGAAAGUCUGACGGAGCAACGCCGCGUGAGUGAUGAAGGCUUUCGGGUCGUAAAACUCUGUUGUUAGGGAAGAACAAGUGCUAGUUGAAUAAGCUGGCACCUUGACGGUACCUAACCAGAAAGCCACGGCUAACUACGUGCCAGCAGCCGCGGUAAUACGUAGGUGGCAAGCGUUAUCCGGAAUUAUUGGGCGUAAAGCGCGCGCAGGUGGUUUCUUAAGUCUGAUGUGAAAGCCCACGGCUCAACCGUGGAGGGUCAUUGGAAACUGGG